RNAcentral lists this ribosomal RNA (554 nucleotides) under uncultured bacterium. Its description in RNAcentral is "bacterial SSU rRNA". It matches the Rfam family "Archaeal small subunit ribosomal RNA", at positions 725 to 1275 of the family's 1478-position model. The record is from RNAcentral.
AGUGAAUAGAUACCCGGGUAGUCCUAGCCGUAAACGAUACUCGCUAGGUGUCGGCCACGGUGCGACCGUUGUCGGUGCCGUAGGGAAAGCCGUGAAGCGAGCCACCUGGGAGGUACGGCCGCAAGGCUGAAACUUAAAGGAAUUGGCGGGGGAGCACCACAACGGGUGGAGCUCGCGGUUUAAUUGGAUUCAACGCCGGAAGUCUUACCGGGACCGACAGCAACAUGAAGGCCAGGCUGAAGACUUUGCCGGAUUAGCUGAGAGGUGGUGCAUGGCCGUCGUCAGUUCGUACUGUGAAAGCAUCCUGUUAAGUCAGGCAACGAGCGAGACCCACGCCCACAGUUGCCAGCGUACUCUCCGGAGUGACGGGUACACUGUGGGGACCGCCGCUGCUAAAGCGGAGGAAGGAAUGGGCAACGGUAGGUCAGUAUGCCCCGAAUAUCCCGGGCUACACGCGAGCUACAAUGGUUGGUACAAUGGGUAUCUACCCCGAAAGGGGAUGGAAAUCUCCUAAAGCCAAUCUUAGUUCGGAUUGAGGGCUGCAACUCGCCCUC